RNAcentral lists this ribosomal RNA (253 nucleotides) under uncultured bacterium. Its description in RNAcentral is "partial 16S ribosomal RNA". It matches the Rfam family "Bacterial small subunit ribosomal RNA", at positions 524 to 776 of the family's 1533-position model. The record is from RNAcentral.
UACGAAGGGGGCGAGCGUUGUUCGGAUUCAUUGGGCGUAAAGGGUGCGUAGGCGGCGCGGUAAGUCGGGUGUGAAAUCUCGGAGCUUAACUCCGAAACUGCAUUCGAUACUGCCGUGCUUGAGGACUGGAGAGGAGACUGGAAUUUACGGUGUAGCGGUGAAAUGCGUAGAUAUCGUAAGGAAGACCAGUGGCGAAGGCGGGUCUCUGGACAGUUCCUGACGCUGAGGCACGAAGGCCAGGGGAGCAAACGGG